UACGUAGGGCGCAAGCGUUAUCCGGAAUUAUUGGGCGUAAAGAGCUCGUAGGCGGUUUGUCGCGUCUGCCGUGAAAGUCCGGGGCUCAACCCUGGGAUGCCGGUGGAUACUGUCGGGCUAGAGUACGGAAGAGGCGAGUGGAAUUCCCGGUGUAGCGGUGAAAUGCGCAGAUAUCGGGAGGAACACCAAUUGCGAAGGCAGCUCGCUGGGACGUCACUGACGCUGAGGCACGAAGGUCAGGGGAGCAAACGGG
This 253-nucleotide ribosomal RNA is filed under the name uncultured bacterium. Its description in RNAcentral is "partial 16S ribosomal RNA". It matches the Rfam family "Bacterial small subunit ribosomal RNA", at positions 524 to 776 of the family's 1533-position model. The record is from RNAcentral.